UCCUUCUUUCUUCUUGGUCAGAGGCGCUCAGAUUAUUUGCUUCUUCUUUUUUUCUUCUUUUGUUGUCAUUUUUCUUCUUUCUCUAUCUUUUACUUCCUCAUCUCUCCUCCAGUCGCUCUCACCCUCAAAAACCAGAUCGAAAAACAUGCCAAACACCAAACAACCAAAUCUGAAUCGUACCUUCGCCAUCCGUUUCGUCAUCCUUCUCUCUCAGCCUCUCACAUCCUGUUUCAUUUCCUAUGAAACCAAUCUUGGCCCAAAAUCCGUAAUACCCAAAUCAAAAAACCUAACACCUCAGCCCCAAAUACCUCCUCCAAUCACACGUGCUCUCUCGACUUCUUGCUUAGCAAUCAGUUGCUUGUCACACUCGAUUUCUGUUUAGCAAUCGAAAUCUUGUCGCUCGUUAGUAAAGCUUUGAAGAUAAGUUAUAGGUUUCUGGUAGUGAUUUGGCUUGAAAUCUGGUAGUGAUUUCAAUUCGCAGCAGUCAAUUUGAAGGUAUUGGAGUUCGAUUCGCAGCAGGCCAUUUGAAGGUAUUGGAGUUCGAUUCGCAGCAGGCCAUUUGAAGGAACUCGUUGACGAGUUAAGGGUAUAUUUUCUCUUCUUUGACAGUGCUGCUUAUGGCAAAAGUGAUCUGUAUCCCUCACGCCCAGUUUAGAGUGAAGCAUAUGAUAUUCAAGAACUAGCCGACACGUUGCAGAUUGGGUCCAAAUUCUAUGUAAUUGGAAUUUCAAUGGGGGCUUACCCUGUUUGGAGUUGCUUGAAAUACAUACCGCACAGGCAUGCUACUUACUUGAAGAGCCAUGGCGCUAUUGUUUUCUUUUUUUGUUUUGAAUAAUGUUUCUGACAUUUACUAAAGAGAGGGACAUUUACUAAACAAGAGAGGGAGACAUUCCUAACCCUUCAUCAUAUGUUAGGCAACAAGUGGUCUCAGAUUGCACAACAUUUGCCUGGAAGGACAGACAAUGAGAUAAAAAAAACUUAUGGCAUUCUUAUUUGAAGAAGAAAGUGGCCAAGGCUGAUGAAGAUCAAGAUCAAAUGGAACUAGCUCAAAGCAAGUCUCAGUACACAAGUUUAUAUAUGGGGGUGAUUUAUGUAGUGAUUUUACCUUGCAUAAUGAUGUGAUGUAUAUAAAAGGGGGUGAACUUUGAACUUCUAAUUAUGCUUCUAUAUAAUAGUAAGAUUAGAGAGAUUGAAUAGUGCUUAUCCUUACAUGUGAGUUUGCUGUUGGAUAGACAUAGUGCCAUUCUUUAUUUGUUUCAACUCAUGGACUUGGAUUUCAUUUGCUUA
Molecule: long non-coding RNA, 1287 nt
Organism: Rosa rugosa (rugosa rose)
Lineage: Eukaryota; Viridiplantae; Streptophyta; Magnoliopsida; Rosales; Rosaceae
Exons: 4
Source: RefSeq, a predicted model, not a curated record